GCUGGGCGUGGUGGCGCGUGCCUGUAAUCCCAGUUACUCAGGAGGCUGAGGCAGGAGAAUUGCUUGAACCCAGGAGGCGAGGUUGCAGUGGGCUGAGAUCGCCCCAUUGCACUCCAGCCUGGGUGACAGAGCGAGAGUCUGUCUCAA
Molecule: unclassified non-coding RNA, 147 nt
Organism: Pongo abelii (Sumatran orangutan)
Lineage: Eukaryota; Metazoa; Chordata; Mammalia; Primates; Hominidae
Rfam family: Metazoan signal recognition particle RNA
About the family: The signal recognition particle (SRP) is a universally conserved ribonucleoprotein. It is involved in the co-translational targeting of proteins to membranes.
Source: Ensembl